This 148-nucleotide non-coding RNA is filed under the name Nomascus leucogenys (northern white-cheeked gibbon). Lineage: Eukaryota; Metazoa; Chordata; Mammalia; Primates; Hylobatidae. The record is from Rfam by way of RNAcentral.
GCUGGGCGUGGCAGCGUGAGCCUGUAAUCCCAGCUACUCGGGAGGUUGAGGCAGAAGGAUCGCUUGAACCCAGGAGGCGGAGGGUGCAGUGAGCUGAGAUCAUGCCACUGCACUCCAGCCUGGGUGACAAAGCGAGACUCUGUCUCAA